RNAcentral lists this ribosomal RNA (435 nucleotides) under uncultured Oscillospiraceae bacterium. Its description in RNAcentral is "partial 16S ribosomal RNA". It matches the Rfam family "Bacterial small subunit ribosomal RNA", at positions 341 to 792 of the family's 1533-position model. The record is from RNAcentral. Lineage: Bacteria; Bacillati; Bacillota; Clostridia; Eubacteriales; Oscillospiraceae.
ACGGGAGGCAGCAGUGGGGGAUAUUGCGCAAUGGGGGAAACCCUGACGCAGCAACGCCGCGUGAAGGAUGAAGGUUUUCGGAUCGUAAACUUAUGUCAUCGGGGACGAGAAUGGACGGUACCCGAGGAGGAAGCCACGGCUAACUACGUGCCAGCAGCCGCGGUAAUACGUAGGUGGCGAGCGUUGUCCGGAUUUACUGGGUGUAAAGGGCGUGUAGGCGGGUUUGUAAGUUGGAUGUGAAAUGCCGCGGCUCAACCGCGGAGCUGCAUCCAAAACUAUAGAUCUUGAGUGCCGGAGAGGAAAGCGGAAUUCCUAGUGUAGCGGUGAAAUGCGUAGAUAUUAGGAGGAACACCGGUGGCGAAGGCGGCUUUCUGGACGGUAACUGACGCUGAGGCGCGAAAGCGUGGGGAGCAAACAGGAUUAGAUACCCUGGUA